AGUGAACGCUGGCGGUAGGCCUAACACAUGCAAGUCGAACGGCAGCACAGGAGAGCUUGCUCACUGGGUGGCGAGUGGCGGACGGGUGAGGAAUACAUCGGAAUCUACUCUGUCGUGGGGGAUAACGUAGGGAAACUUACGCUAAUACCGCAUACGACCUACGGGUGAAAGCAGGGGAUCUUCGGACCUUGCGCGAGUGAAUGAGCCGAUGUCGGAUUAGCUAGUUGGCGGGGUAAAGGCCCACCAAGGCGACGAUCCGUAGCUGGUCUGAGAGGAUGAUCAGCCACACUGGAACUGAGACACGGUCCAGACUCCUACGGGAGGCAGCAGUGGGGAAUAUUGGACAAUGGGCGCAAGCCUGAUCCAGCCAUACCGCGUGGGUGAAGAAGGCCUUCGGGUUGUAAAGCCCUUUUGUUGGGAAAGAAAUCCAGCUGGCUAAUACCCGGUUGGGAUGACGGUACCCAAAGAAUAAGCACCGGCUAACUUCGUGCCAGCAGCCGCGGUAA
RNAcentral lists this ribosomal RNA (506 nucleotides) under uncultured bacterium. Its description in RNAcentral is "partial 16S ribosomal RNA". It matches the Rfam family "Bacterial small subunit ribosomal RNA", at positions 29 to 523 of the family's 1533-position model. The record is from RNAcentral.